RNAcentral lists this transfer RNA (87 nucleotides) under Bdellovibrionales bacterium CG11_big_fil_rev_8_21_14_0_20_38_13. RNAcentral describes it as "tRNA-Arg". It matches the Rfam family "tRNA". Rfam says of the family: Transfer RNA (tRNA) molecules are approximately 80 nucleotides in length. Their secondary structure includes four short double-helical elements and three loops (D, anti-codon, and T loops). Lineage: Bacteria; Pseudomonadati; Bdellovibrionota; Bdellovibrionia; Bdellovibrionales. RNAcentral also lists the same sequence under 2 other names. The record is from RNAcentral.
GGGGAGAUGGCAGAGUGGCCGAAUGCUGCUGACUUCUAAUCAGCUAGACCUUAAGUGGUCUCAUGGGUUCGAAUCCCAUUCUCUUCG